RNAcentral lists this ribosomal RNA (334 nucleotides) under uncultured eukaryote. RNAcentral describes it as "partial 18S ribosomal RNA". It matches the Rfam family "Eukaryotic small subunit ribosomal RNA", at positions 1470 to 1796 of the family's 1831-position model. The record is from RNAcentral.
CCCUUAGAUGUCCGGGGCCGCACGCGCGCUACACUGAAGGAAUCAGCGUGGCUUUCUCCCUGACCCGAAAGGGUUGGGAAACCCGUUGGAUCUCCUUCGUGAUAGGGAUUGGGGCUUGAAAUUGUUCCCCAUGAACGAGGAAUUCCCAGUAAGCGCGAGUCAUAAGCUCGCGUUGAUUACGUCCCUGCCCUUUGUACACACCGCCCGUCGCUACUACCGAUUGAACGGUUUAGUGAGGGCCUCGGAUUGGUCUCGGCCCGCUCUUCACCGGGCGGCGCCGUUGGUCGAGAAGACGCUCGAACUUGAUCGUUUAGAGGAAGUAAAAGUCGUAACA